RNAcentral lists this ribosomal RNA (228 nucleotides) under uncultured bacterium. Its description in RNAcentral is "partial 16S ribosomal RNA". It matches the Rfam family "Bacterial small subunit ribosomal RNA", at positions 568 to 795 of the family's 1533-position model. The record is from RNAcentral.
UGCGUAGGCGGAAUAGUAAGUCAGUGGUGAAAUCCUGCGGCUCAACCGUAGAACUGCCAUUGAUACUGCUAAUCUUGAGUAUAGUUGAGGUGGGCGGAAUGUGUAAUGUAGCGGUGAAAUGCAUAGAUAUUACACAGAACACCGAUUGCGAAGGCAGCUCACUAAGCUAUUACUGACGCUAAGGCACGAAAGCGUGGGGAGCGAACAGGAUUAGAUACCCUGGUAGUC